UACGGUGGGGGCAAGCGUUGUUCGGAAUUACUGGGCGUAAAGGGCUCGUAGGCGGCCAACUAAGUCAGACGUGAAAUCCCUCGGCUUAACCGGGGAACUGCGUCUGAUACUGGAUGGCUUGAAUCCGGGAGAGGGAUGCGGAAUUCCAGGUGUAGCGGUGAAAUGCGUAGAUAUCUGGAGGAACACCGGUGGCGAAGGCGACAUCCUGGACCGGUAUUGACGCUGAGUGAGCGAAAGCCAGGGGAGCAAACGGG
RNAcentral lists this ribosomal RNA (254 nucleotides) under uncultured bacterium. RNAcentral's name for it is "partial 16S ribosomal RNA". It matches the Rfam family "Bacterial small subunit ribosomal RNA", at positions 524 to 776 of the family's 1533-position model. The record is from RNAcentral.